Bos taurus (domestic cattle) is the source of this 1209-nucleotide long non-coding RNA. The record is from Ensembl. NCBI's taxonomy places the organism in Eukaryota, Metazoa, Chordata, Mammalia, Artiodactyla, Bovidae.
CCCCGAUGAUGACCUAGACCCCCUCCCCCCCGCACCUGGUGACUCCGCGGGUCACUUCCGAUGGUCACCUAGGACCGCGGGGUGGCGCGGAGCAGACCCGCUUUUCAGGAUCCAGGCUGGGCAGACUGCUGACCGCCCCGGGGGUCGGCGCUCCCACAGACAGCUCUGCCGGAAUCUUCUUCCUCUGCACCGCUCGGUGACUUCAUCCAGUCCAAGAGCUCAGACAUCUGUGUUCUGAAUGAGCUUCAGGCGCUUGCGUCCAGUAGCCCGUUUGAUUAUGCCACCUUGAUGUCCUUUGGCAGCUCAAGUUUCAGGUGUAAACAGGUGCCUUUUUCUUCCCUUCAAAAGGACGAAACUGGAAAAACAUGACCCGUGUGCUGAGCUCUUCUUAUCUGCUCACCCUGAUCAAUGGUUAGCUAUGUUAGGAGCUGCCCUGUGGAGAGACUCCUGUGGUCAAGAACUUGCUGUCCGAACAACAAUCAGCAAGGAACUGGAUAACAACAACCAGCAAGGAACUGGAUCCUGCCAACAAGCAGUGCAUGAGGUCAGAGCGGAUCUUUCCCCCAGCUGUGCCUGGAGAUGACUUCAGCCACACCCGGCACCUUGACUGCAGCCCAUGGAGACCCUGACGCAGAGAACCCGCCUAAGCUGCAUGCAGAUGUCUGACCCGCAGCAAUGUGAGAUAAUAAAUGUCAUCAUUUAAGCUGGGACCUAACAGACCUGUGGAUAGAUAAACACCAGCCAGAACAGCCAACAGGCUUCCCAGGUGGUGCUAGUGGGGAAGAACCCGCCUGCCAGUCCAGGAGACCUAAGAGACUGUGGUCCAGUCCCUGGGUGGAGAAGGUCCCCCAGAGAAGGAAAUGGCAACCCACUCCAGUAUUCUUGCCUGGAGAAUUCCAUGGACAGAGGAGCCUGGAGGGCUACAGUCCACGGGGUCGCACAGAGUCAGACACGACUGAGCGCACACACUGAGCAGUAGAUCCGACAGCUGGGAAUUUCGAAAGGAAAUCUGCGAGUCCACAAGAACAAGAGUGGAUGCUUUCAUUGAAAGAAGAGGAAUACAAUCUCUGAGGACUGUUUUAUUCUCUCAGGAAGAUGGGAAAACUGGGACUGAUCACCAUUUUGCACUAAUUCUUGCAGAGUUGGUCCUUGUAGAUCCACUGGAUCCCUCUCUUUUGCUUUGUAAAUUGAGCCGAAAUUGUUCCUGCG